This 1207-nucleotide ribosomal RNA is filed under the name Campylobacter coli. RNAcentral describes it as "bacterial SSU rRNA". It matches the Rfam family "Bacterial small subunit ribosomal RNA", at positions 309 to 1533 of the family's 1533-position model. RNAcentral also lists the same sequence under 1 other name. Lineage: Bacteria; Pseudomonadati; Campylobacterota; Epsilonproteobacteria; Campylobacterales; Campylobacteraceae. The record is from RNAcentral.
CACACUGGAACUGAGACACGGUCCAGACUCCUACGGGAGGCAGCAGUAGGGAAUAUUGCGCAAUGGGGGAAACCCUGACGCAGCAACGCCGCGUGGAGGAUGACACUUUUCGGAGCGUAAACUCCUUUUCUUAGGGAAGAAUUCUGACGGUACCUAAGGAAUAAGCACCGGCUAACUCCGUGCCAGCAGCCGCGGUAAUACGGAGGGUGCAAGCGUUACUCGGAAUCACUGGGCGUAAAGGGCGCGUAGGCGGAUUAUCAAGUCUCUUGUGAAAUCUAAUGGCUUAACCAUUAAACUGCUUGGGAAACUGAUAGUCUAGAGUGAGGGAGAGGCAGAUGGAAUUGGUGGUGUAGGGGUAAAAUCCGUAGAUAUCACCAAGAAUACCCAUUGCGAAGGCGAUCUGCUGGAACUCAACUGACGCUAAGGCGCGAAAGCGUGGGGAGCAAACAGGAUUAGAUACCCUGGUAGUCCACGCCCUAAACGAUGUACACUAGUUGUUGGGGUGCUAGUCAUCUCAGUAAUGCAGCUAACGCAUUAAGUGUACCGCCUGGGGAGUACGGUCGCAAGAUUAAAACUCAAAGGAAUAGACGGGGACCCGCACAAGCGGUGGAGCAUGUGGUUUAAUUCGAAGAUACGCGAAGAACCUUACCUGGGCUUGAUAUCCUAAGAACCUUUUAGAGAUAAGAGGGUGCUAGCUUGCUAGAACUUAGAGACAGGUGCUGCACGGCUGUCGUCAGCUCGUGUCGUGAGAUGUUGGGUUAAGUCCCGCAACGAGCGCAACCCACGUAUUUAGUUGCUAACGGUUCGGCCGAGCACUCUAAAUAGACUGCCUUCGUAAGGAGGAGGAAGGUGUGGACGACGUCAAGUCAUCAUGGCCCUUAUGCCCAGGGCGACACACGUGCUACAAUGGCAUAUACAAUGAGACGCAAUACCGCGAGGUGGAGCAAAUCUAUAAAAUAUGUCCCAGUUCGGAUUGUUCUCUGCAACUCGAGAGCAUGAAGCCGGAAUCGCUAGUAAUCGUAGAUCAGCCAUGCUACGGUGAAUACGUUCCCGGGUCUUGUACUCACCGCCCGUCACACCAUGGGAGUUGAUUUCACUCGAAGCCGGAAUACUAAACUAGUUACCGUCCACAGUGGAAUCAGCGACUGGGGUGAAGUCGUAACAAGGUAACCGUAGGAGAACCUGCGGUUGGAUCACCUCCUUUCUA